GAUGAACGCUGGCGGCGUGCCUAAUACAUGCAAGUCGAGCGAACAGACGAGGAGCUUGCUCCUCUGACGUUAGCGGCGGACGGGUGAGUAACACGUGGAUAACCUACCUAUAAGACUGGGAUAACUUCGGGAAACCGGAGCUAAUACCGGAUAAUAUAUUGAACCGCAUGGUUCAAUAGUGAAAGACGGUUUUGCUGUCACUUAUAGAUGGAUCCGCGCCGCAUUAGCUAGUUGGUAAGGUAACGGCUUACCAAGGCAACGAUGCGUAGCCGACCUGAGAGGGGGAUCGGCCACCCUGGAACUGAGACACGGUCCAGACUCCUACGGGAGGCAGCAGGAGGGAAUCUUCCGCAAUGGGCGGAAGCCUGACGGAGCCACGGCGGGGGAGUGAUGAAGGGCUUCGGAUCGUAAAACUCUGUUAUUAGGGAAGAACAAAUGUGUAAGUAACUAUGCACGUCUUGUCGGUACCUAAUCAGAAAGCCACGGCUAACUACGUG
RNAcentral lists this ribosomal RNA (497 nucleotides) under uncultured bacterium. RNAcentral's name for it is "partial 16S ribosomal RNA". It matches the Rfam family "Bacterial small subunit ribosomal RNA", at positions 28 to 507 of the family's 1533-position model. The record is from RNAcentral.